Molecule: ribosomal RNA, 495 nt
Filed under: uncultured bacterium
Lineage: Bacteria
Description: partial 16S ribosomal RNA
Rfam family: Bacterial small subunit ribosomal RNA
Source: RNAcentral
GACGAACGCUGGCGGCGUGCCUAAUACAUGCAAGUAGAACGCUGAAGGAGGAGCUUGCUUCUCUGGAUGAGUUGCGAACGGGUGAGUAACGCGUAGGUAACCUGCCUGGUAGCGGGGGAUAACUAUUGGAAACGAUAGCUAAUACCGCAUAAUAGUAGAUGUUGCAUGACAUUUGCUUAAAAGGUGCAAUUGCAUCACUACCAGAUGGACCUGCGGUGUAUUAGCUAGUUGGUGGGGUAACGGCUCACCAAGGCGAGGAUACAUAGCCGACCUGUGAGGGUGGUCGGCCGCACUGGGACGGUGACACGGCCCAGACUCCUACGGGAGGCGGCAGUAGGGAAUCUGCGGCAAUGGACGGAAGUCUUACCGAGCAACGCCGCGUGAGUGAGGAAGGUUUUCGGAUCGUAGAGCUCGGUUGUAAGGGAGGAACGAGUGUGAGAGUGGAAAGUUCACACUGUGACGGUAACUUACCAGAAAGAAACGGCUAACUACGUG